This 492-nucleotide ribosomal RNA is filed under the name uncultured bacterium. RNAcentral's name for it is "partial 16S ribosomal RNA". It matches the Rfam family "Bacterial small subunit ribosomal RNA", at positions 29 to 507 of the family's 1533-position model. The record is from RNAcentral.
AGUGAACGCUGGCGGUAGGCCUAACACAUGCAAGUCGAACGGCAGCACAGUAAGAGCUUGCUCUUACGGGUGGCGAGUGGCGGACGGGUGAGGAAUACAUCGGAAUCUACUUUUUCGUGGGGGAUAACGUAGGGAAACUUACGCUAAUACCGCAUACGACCUACGGGUGAAAGCAGGGGAUCUUCGGACCUUGCGCGAUUGAAUGAGCCGAUGUCGGAUUAGCUAGUUGGCGGGGUAAAGGCCCACCAAGGCGACGAUCCGUAGCUGGUCUGAGAGAAUGAUCAGCCACACUGGAGCUGAGCCAGGGUCCAGACUCCUACGGGAGGCAGCAGUGGGGAAUAUUGGACAAUGGGCGCAAGCCUGAUCCAGCCAGACCGCGUGGGUGAAGAAGGCCUUCGGGUUGUAAAGCCCUUUUGUGGGGAAAGAAAAGCAGCAGGUUAAUACCCCGCUGUUCUGACGGUACCCAAAGAAUAAGCACCGGCUAACUUCGUG